AUAGCGUAUAUUAAAGUUGUUGCAGUUAAAAAGCUCGUAGUUGAAUUUUGGACCUGGCUGGGUGGUCUUGCCGCAAGGUUAGCACUGCUCUGGUCGGGUCUUUCUUUCUGGGGAACCUGUGUGCUCUUAAUUGAGUGCGCAGGGGGUCCAGGACUUUUACUUUGAAAAAAUUAGAGUGUUUAAAGCAGGCUUUCGCUUGAAUACAUUAGCAUGGAAUAAUAGAAUAAGACUUUGGUUCUAUUUUGUUGGUUUCUAGGACUGAAGUAAUGAUUAAUAGGGACAGUUGGGGGCAUUAGUAUUUAAUUGUCAGAGGUGAAAUUCUUGGAUUUAUGAAAGACUAACUUCUG
This 347-nucleotide ribosomal RNA is filed under the name uncultured eukaryote. RNAcentral's name for it is "SSU rRNA". It matches the Rfam family "Eukaryotic small subunit ribosomal RNA", at positions 594 to 945 of the family's 1831-position model. The record is from RNAcentral.